RNAcentral lists this ribosomal RNA (501 nucleotides) under uncultured Campylobacterota bacterium. RNAcentral's name for it is "bacterial SSU rRNA". It matches the Rfam family "Bacterial small subunit ribosomal RNA", at positions 73 to 595 of the family's 1533-position model. Lineage: Bacteria; Pseudomonadati; Campylobacterota. The record is from RNAcentral.
GCCUAGCUUGCUAGGUGGAUUAGUGGCGCACGGGUGAGUAAUAUAUAGAUAACGUGCCUCUUAGUCUGGGAUAGCCAUUGGAAACGAUGAUUAAUACUAGAUACUCCUUCUAACUCUAAUGUUAGUCGGGAAAGUUUUUCGCUAAGAGAUCGGUCUAUAUCCCAUCAGCUAGUUGGUAGUGUAAGAGACUACCAAGGCAAUGACGGGUAGCGGGUUUGAGAGGAUGAUCCGCCACACUGGUACUGAGACACGGACCAGACUCCUACGGGAGGCAGCAGUGAGGAAUAUUGCACAAUGGAGGAAACUCUGAUGCAGCAACGCCGCGUGGAGGAUGACGCAUUUCGGUGUGUAAACUCCUUUUAUAUGUCAAGAAAAUGACGGUAGCAUAUGAAUAAGCACCGGCUAACUCCGUGCCAGCAGCCGCGGUAAUACGGAGGGUGCAAGCGUUAUUCGGAAUCACUGGGCGUAAAGGACGCGUAGGCGGGAUGCCAAGUCUGAUGU